UACGAAGGGGGCUAGCGUUGUUCGGAUUUACUGGGCGUAAAGCGCACGUAGGCGGCUUGUUAAGUCAGGGGUGAAAUCCCGGAGCUCAACUCCGGAACUGCCUUUGAUACUGGCAAUCUUGAGGCUGGAAGAGGUUAGUGGAAUUCCCAGUGUAGAGGUGAAAUUCGUAGAUAUUGGGAAGAACACCAGUGGCGAAGGCGGCUAACUGGUCCAGAUCUGACGCUGAGGUGCGAAAGCGUGGGGAGCAAACAGG
RNAcentral lists this ribosomal RNA (253 nucleotides) under uncultured bacterium. RNAcentral describes it as "partial 16S ribosomal RNA". It matches the Rfam family "Bacterial small subunit ribosomal RNA", at positions 524 to 776 of the family's 1533-position model. The record is from RNAcentral.